This 484-nucleotide ribosomal RNA is filed under the name uncultured bacterium. RNAcentral describes it as "partial 16S ribosomal RNA". It matches the Rfam family "Bacterial small subunit ribosomal RNA", at positions 28 to 507 of the family's 1533-position model. The record is from RNAcentral.
AUUGAACGCUGGCGGCAUGCUUUACACAUGCAAGUCGAACGGCAGCGCGGGCUUCGGCCUGGCGGCGCGUGGCGAACGGGUGAGUAAUGCAUCGGAACGUGCCCAGUAGUGGGGGAUAGCCCGUCGAAAGCCGGAUUAAUACCACAUACGACCUGAGGGUGCAAGCGGGGGACCGAAAGGCCUCGCGCUCUUGGGGGGGCCGAUGUCGGAUUAGCUAGUUGGUGGGGUAAAGGCUUACCUAGGCGACGAUCCGUAGCUGGUCUGAGAGGACGACCAGCCACACGGGGACUGAGACACGGCCCAGACUCCUGAGGGAGGCAGCAGUGGGGAAUUUUGGACAAUGGGGGCAACCCUGAUCCAGCCAGGCCGCGUGUGGGAAGAAGGCCUUCGGGUUGUAAACCGCUUUUGUUCGGGAAGAAAUCCUCUGGGCUAAUACCCCGGGGGGAUGACGGUACCGGAAGAAUAAGCACCGGCUAACUACGUG